Molecule: ribosomal RNA, 465 nt
Filed under: uncultured bacterium
Lineage: Bacteria
Description: partial 16S ribosomal RNA
Rfam family: Bacterial small subunit ribosomal RNA
Source: RNAcentral
CCUACGAGUGACAGCAGUGGGGAAUAUUGCGCAAUGGGCGCAAGCCUGAUGCAGCCAUGCCGCGUGACGGAUGAAGGUCUUCUGAUUUGACAGCUCUUUCAGCAGGGAAGCAAGGUGUCUAUUCUAUUCAGCUUUUCAUUGACGUUACCUACAAGAGCAGCACCGGCUAACUCCGUGCCAGCAGCCGCGGUAAUACGGAGGGUGCUCGCGUUAAUCGUAAUUACUGGGCGUAAAGCUCUCGUAGGCGGUAGGCAAAGUCAAUUGUGAAAGCCCUGAGCUCAAGGUGGGAACUGCCGUUGAGACGGGCAAACUGGAGUGGGAGAGAGGAGAGUGGAAUUCAAGGUGUAGGAGUGAAAUACGUAGAUAUCGGGAGGAACAUCAGUGGCGAAGGCGACUAGGUGGCACAUAACUGACGCUGAGGAGCGAAAGCGUGGGUAGCAAACAGGAUUAGAUACCCUGGUAGUC